Molecule: non-coding RNA, 917 nt
Organism: Phascolarctos cinereus (koala)
Lineage: Eukaryota; Metazoa; Chordata; Mammalia; Diprotodontia; Phascolarctidae
Source: the annotation of a RefSeq genome assembly
CUUCUGAAAAUGAAGCACAGUGCCCUCCUCUCACUUCCAGCCCUGGUGCCCACAGCUCCUCAAGACACUCAGAACGCUUGAAGCAGUGUCAGCCAAUGGAAUGAGCAGCCAGAAAGUAAGCAGACUCAUUGAAGGAUAGCCUGCUCCUGGAAAUUCACAGGAAGGACUUUCUUCUCCUUGAAGUAACCAAUCUCUUUGGUGCCACGAACCCACCUACCCCCCAACAAGAGAGGAACCCCAGCUUCAUCCUGCUGAGCCAUGACCUCUGUGCCCAUUCUCGCCCUUGUGAUGCUCUUCAUACCUGGAAGAGCAGAAGCACAGUCAGUGACUCAGCCUGAAAAUCAGGUCUCUGUCUCUGAAGGGUUUCCAGUAGAGUUGAAAUGCACUUAUUCCUCUUCUGGGGCUGCUUAUCUCUAUUGGUAUGUCCAGUAUCCCAACCAAGAGCUUCAAGUCCUCCUGAGACAUACUUCACAGGAAAGCAACAAAGGUUUUCAGGCCAACCUCAACAAGGAUGAAACCUCCUACCAUCUGAAGAAGCUCCAUGUCCAAGAGGAAGAUGCAGCUGUGUACUUCUGUGCUCUGAGUGACACAGUGAGAGGGCUCACAAGGGGAGCUGAGCACAAACCUCCUGAGACAGUCUUUGAAAUGUUCCUCAAAGGGAUUUUUUUUUCUUUUCUUGUCAGAAUCCUUCAGACUGGGCAGUGCUGUUCUCAAGGAAGAAUAAAGAUUCAUAGUAUCAUAAGAUUUAGAGCUAGAAGGGACUUUGGAGAUUGUCUAGGCCAGGGGUCAGCAAACUUUUGUCUGCAAAUGAUCAGAUAGUAAAUAUUUUAGGCUUUGCCAGCCGAGAGGCAAAACAGAGGAUUUUAUGUAGGUACUUACAUAUCAAGAGAGAAAUCACAUUUCCCUAAAAUUUUAUA